GUAUUUCCUUUCUUUUUACAUUUAUGCAUUUAGCAGGCACUUUUAUUCAAAGUGACUUGCAAUACAUCAUCAGCAGAAAAAAAGAUGCAAAAACUGUCACUAGGGCGGCACCUUUUCAAAAAUACACCUUUAUUACCCUAUUUACCCCUAAAAGGGGCAUAUUGGUACCUUAAAAUUAUAAGUACUUUAAUACCUAAAAUGUACAUAUUAAUACCUUUUGAAAAGGUACCACCCAGUGACAGCUUUUGUAUUUUUUUUAUGAGUGUAGAGGAGUGAGGAACUGAGUUAUGAUUGUGCUGUGAGAUUAUAAAGCAUGUGUUAUACUAUAUGACUAAUAGUCAUAUGUCAACAGCUCAUUAUGCAAACUUGCAUGGAGACAUUAAAUGAGUUUUGAAUGCAAAAUGGUCCUGAGUUGCUGGAAAAACACACAAAAGGAAGAUUAUUUUGCUCAGAGAGUGGAAGACCUAUGAUCUUGAAACAUCAGCUUGGUUGAACACCAGUAGCUGCUCAAAUCAACUGUCCUGAGAACCACAGAGUGGCGUGAUGCUGUUUCUUCUUCUUUUGGUGUCAUUGGUUUGCUCUGGACUGUCAGUGGAGAGCCAUGGAAAAUACUUCAUCACGGCAUUCCCAGAAAACAUUGCCUACUACCAUCCACAGGAGUCUUCCAACACUCUCCAAAUUACUGCUUUCUACGACGACACCCUCGUCUCAAUCAGCAUCAACUACACAAACGUAUAUAAUGAUAAGCUACAGUCUGGGCAGAUUAAAAUUGUACAUUUUCCCAAGUACAUCGAGCAAUAUCAGUUCACAAACUCCUCUCUUUUAGUCAAAGUCCACAGCACUGAAAAGAUCGUGGUGCAGUGGCUCAGUAAACGCGGCGAUAGCGUGCAGUCUAACGUCGUUCAACCUGUUAGAAAUCUCGGAAAGUGGUAUUCAAUCCCAUUUAUCAAUUACAAUCAGAUGAUGGCGUCCUUGUACAAUAUGUCAGAUCAGUUAGCUCCAGACAACUGGAGAUACAAUUCAUUCAGGCUGAUCAUUAUCAACGCCGAGCAUGCUGUGAACUUAAUCACUGUGCGUACUAUCAGCACGGAUGGUCAAGAAGCGUUUAACAUUACUCUCAGACCUUACGAACUUUACCAGUUCCAAACUAACGGUUCGGACAUUAAACUGUACUCUAAUGCCAUCAUGGCUGUGCUGUUAACCCAUCCGUGUGUAGAAACUACCGUAUGUGAUUGCACUAUGGUGGUGAGCCACGUUCUCCCCGAAAAGCUGUGGGGUGACACGUUUGUCGUGCCAUUGGUGAAGAACCUGAAUACAGCCUGGCUGCAAGUGACUAACACAACGGAAGUAUGGCUCAAUGGCAGGAAUAUAAAAGCUCAACAGUCCAAUUCCUCAGAGCUAAUUCCCUUCCCGGAACUUAAGAGUGCAUCUCAGUUCAUCAGUGCAUCAAAUGAGGUGUCCAUCAGACUUAUCAGUCCAGGCCUCGUCUUAGAACUCAUACCAGAAACCAUGUUCGCUGCUUGUUACCUGGUUCAGAUGAACUCGACAGAGGGUGAGGCUGUUAUCAUAGCUGAAACAGCCAGUAAGGACUAUGUGUAUAUAGACAAGAAAUUACUGAGAUCCACUGACUGGAAACCCAUUCCCUAUUCAAACUACUCUUCCAUAUCUGUGUCACUUAAUGGUGUGCAUAUCAUCUGGCACCCAACCUCCAAGAUCGGAGUGUAUAGGUUUGAGAAGAUGGAGAGUGGAAUUCCUUAUGGAAGCCCAGCUAUCAUUUUAAACGAAGACCCAGAUCAUGAUGGCUGUGUGGCAGAUUCUGCACAAUUUAAGACCACUACUGAUGUCAUGACAUGGUCCCAGUCCCGUCAUUACUGCCUAAAUAUAUCUUACCAGCUGAGCACACCAAGCAGUGAAAUGUCCCAAAAAGAGAUGACCAACUUUCUGCAAAACAAUGGAAGUCGCGGGUACCUCUGGAUCGGUCUGCGACGCAGUCAGUUCAUGUCAGAGUGGUAUUGGCAGAAAGGCAAUGACAGCGAAUACAGUGUGAACUACACGAAGUGGGCUGAUGGGCAUCCAGAUAAGCCCUGGAAAGCUUGCGCUGCUGUGUCCCAAGAUGCCAACAAGGAGUUUUCCUGGAAGAGUUUGCCCUGUUGCACCAAGCUAAGGCCCAUCUGCUACAAAGGCAAAUACUUUAGUGAUGUGACCUUUAAUACACUAUAUGAUCAUUAUAGCAUUACUUCCCCAAAUGUCUGUCCUUCUUGCCAAAAUUCUUGACCUGAAGUUAGUAACUGCAAUAAUAAAUCAUAUUACAAAAGUUUAAUCAUGGUUGUUGGUAAAAUUAAUCUAAUUGCUUACUUAUUGAAAAAGCUUCUCGCUGUCUGUUACUUUAUAGAAUUCUGGUUGUUUUUAUGUUCAUAAAAUAAAUCAAUAUUCGCAUUUAAAAAUAUAUGGAUCUUCUGAAAACACAAAAAAACUACAUAUUAUUAGUUAUAUAUAUAUCAUAUUUUAGGGCUUCACAUACUAUUAUGGCACAAACCGAAACCAAAUAGCCUAUCAAAUAUGACAAAUAUCAAAACUUUAAUAUCUGAUGUAAUGCAUGGUGAUCUAAAGUGAAAGCAACUAAAGUGAAAUUACUGUAGGGGAAUACAAGCAUAUGUCACAAGAUCACAGUGCUCUUUUUAAUAUCACCAUAGACACCUUCAAGCCUAUUUGGCUUGAUUCUGGUAUAUUAUGGGUGUGUUUGGUUGACGUUUUUCAGCUCACCAUCGCCUCCAUUCCGUGAUGUCAUUUAGGUAAAUCAGGGGUUUUAGCCUUUUAAUCACAGACACCUAUAGACAUAAACAGGCAACAGUUUGAAUUUUAUUUGAUUAUAAACAUGGUUUUGCUUGUAAUUUUGGAUCACUUGUGCCGGUUUACAAAUUCAGCUGUUUUCAAUAAAUAACUUUCAAAAUCAUAAA
Molecule: long non-coding RNA, 2957 nt
Organism: Cyprinus carpio carpio
Lineage: Eukaryota; Metazoa; Chordata; Actinopteri; Cypriniformes; Cyprinidae
Source: Ensembl